RNAcentral lists this ribosomal RNA (371 nucleotides) under uncultured organism. RNAcentral describes it as "partial 16S ribosomal RNA". It matches the Rfam family "Bacterial small subunit ribosomal RNA", at positions 527 to 896 of the family's 1533-position model. The record is from RNAcentral.
GUAGGUGGCAAGCGUUGUCCGGAAUUAUUGGGCGUAAAGCGCGCGCAGGCGGUUCUUUAAGUCUGAUGUGAAAGCCCACGGCUCAACCGUGGAGGGUCAUUGGAGACUGGAGAACUUGAGUACAGAAGAGGAAAGCGGAAUUCCACGUGUAGCGGUGAAAUGCGUAGAGAUGUGGAGGAACACCAGUGGCGAAGGCGGCUUUCUGGUCUGUAACUGACGCUGAGGCGCGAAAGCGUGGGGGAGCAAACAGGAUUAGAUACCCUGGUAGUCCACGCCGUAAACGAUGAGUGCUAAGUGUUAGGGGGUUUCCGCCCCUUAGUGCUGCAGCUAACGCAUUAAGCACUCCGCCUGGGAGUACGACCGCAAGGUUG